Molecule: long non-coding RNA, 381 nt
Organism: Branchiostoma floridae (Florida lancelet)
Lineage: Eukaryota; Metazoa; Chordata; Leptocardii; Amphioxiformes; Branchiostomatidae
Exons: 4
Source: RefSeq, a predicted model, not a curated record
UGACGACGACACAACCCCCAGUAACGACACCUCUGCUCACUACAACACCAGUGUGUACUGGGUUCCCAUGUGCCACGGUGCCUGGCUGUAUCCAUCCUAACAACACCUGUGAUGGGGAGGACGACUGUGCUGAUGGUUCUGAUGAACAAAACUGCCAGGUAACCUGUGAUACGCUGCAGUUCCCCUGCUAUGAUGGAUUGCGAUGUCUGAACCUGACCUACGUCUGCGAUGGCCUGCCAAACUGCUUGGACGGGUCCGAUGAGUAUGAUGAGAUUUGCAAUGAGACGUGUACACAGUUCCGCUGUGAUAGCGGGAAGUGCAUCAACUUCACCAAGCUGUGUGAUGGGAAAAAUGACUGUGCAGAUGGGGAGGAUGAGACUA